This 377-nucleotide unclassified non-coding RNA is filed under the name uncultured Eubacteriales bacterium. Its description in RNAcentral is "contains 16S-23S intergenic spacer region". Lineage: Bacteria; Bacillati; Bacillota; Clostridia; Eubacteriales. The record is from RNAcentral.
UCCGUGUUGUCCACGGCAGUCUCACUAGAGUGCCCAGCUUUACCUGAUGGCAACUAAUGACAAGGGUUGCGCUCGUUGCGGGACUUAACCCAACAUCUCACGACACGAGCUGACGACAACCAUGCACCACCUGUCUCCAUUGUCUCCGAAGAGAGGAGCACGAUUAAGUGCUUUACAACGGGAUGUCAAGACCUGGUAAGGUUCUUCGCGUUGCUUCGAAUUAAACCACAUGCUCCGCUGCUUGUGCGGGUCCCCGUCAAUUCCUUUGAGUUUCACACUUGCGUGCGUACUCCCCAGGCGGAAUACUUAUUGCGUUAGCUGCGGCACCAACCCCUGCGGGCUGACACCUAGUAUUCAUCGUUUACGGCGUGGACUAC